AGUGAACGCUGGCGGUAGGCCUAACACAUGCAAGUCGAACGGCAGCACAGUAAGAGCUUGCUCUUACGGGUGGCGAGUGGCGGACGAGUGAGGAAUACAUCGGAAUCUACUUUUUCGUGGGGGAUAACGUAGGGAAACUUACGCUAAUACCGCAUACGACCUACGGGUGAAAGCAGGGGAUCUUCGGACCUUGCGCGAUUGAAUGAGCCGAUGUCGGAUUAGCUAGUUGGCGGGGUAAAGGCCCACCAAGGCGACGAUCCGUAGCUGGUCUGAGAGGAUGAUCAGCCACACUAGAACCGAGACACGGUCCAGACUCCUACGGGACGCAGCAGUGGGGAAUAUUGGACAAUGGGCGCGAGCCUGAUCCAGCCAUACCGCGUGGGUGAAGGAGGCCUUCGGGUUGUGAAGCCCUUUUGUUGGGAGAGAAAAGCAGCAGGUUAAUACCCCGCUGUUCUGACGGUACCCAAAGAAUAAGCACCGGCUAACUUCGUG
This 492-nucleotide ribosomal RNA is filed under the name uncultured bacterium. RNAcentral's name for it is "partial 16S ribosomal RNA". It matches the Rfam family "Bacterial small subunit ribosomal RNA", at positions 29 to 507 of the family's 1533-position model. The record is from RNAcentral.